RNAcentral lists this ribosomal RNA (429 nucleotides) under Bacteroidota bacterium. Its description in RNAcentral is "Bacteroidetes bacterium partial 16S ribosomal RNA". It matches the Rfam family "Bacterial small subunit ribosomal RNA", at positions 355 to 776 of the family's 1533-position model. Lineage: Bacteria; Pseudomonadati; Bacteroidota. The record is from RNAcentral.
UAGGGAAUCUUCGGCAAUGGGGGGAACCCUGACCGAGCAACGCCGCGUGAGUGAAGAAGGUUUUCGGAUCGUAAAGCUCUGUUGUUAAGGAAGAACGAGUGUGAGAAUGGAAAGUUCAUACUGUGACGGUACUUAACCAGAAAGGGACGGCUAACUACGUGCCAGCAGCCGCGGUAAUACUUAGGUCCCGAGCGUUGUCCGGAUUUAUUGGGCGUAAAGCGAGCGCAGGCGGUUAGAAAAGUCUGAAGUGAAAGGCAGUGGCUCAACCAUUGUAGGCUUUGGAAACUGUUUAACUUGAGUGCAGAAGGGGAGAGUGGAAUUCCAUGUGUAGCGGUGAAAUGCGUAGAUAUAUGGAGGAACACCGGUGGCGAAAGCGGCUCUCUGGUCUGUAACUGACGCUGAGGCUCGAAAGCGUGGGGAGCGAACAGG